Molecule: unclassified non-coding RNA, 306 nt
Filed under: Hevea brasiliensis (rubber tree)
Lineage: Eukaryota; Viridiplantae; Streptophyta; Magnoliopsida; Malpighiales; Euphorbiaceae
Source: RNAcentral
AAAUUGAGAGCAAACUUAGUGAUAUAGAGGAAAUUAAGCAAAGAUGGGGAGGUCUCCUUCUUGUGAUGAGAAUAGCCUGAAAAAAGGACCCUGGAUCCCUGAAGAAGAUCAAAAACUUGUUGACUACAUCCAAAAACAUGGACAUGGAAGUUGGCGAGCUCUCCCAAAGCUUGCAGGUCUUAACAGAUGUGGCAAGAGCUGUAGGUUAAGGUGGACAAAUUACCUGAGGCCUGAUAUCAAGAGAGGGAAAUUUUCUCAAGAAGAAGAGCAAACAAUUCUAAACCUCCAUUCUGUUCUUGGAAACAA